UACGGGGGGGGCAAGCGUUGUUCGGAAUUAUUGGGCGUAAAGAGCUCGUAGGCGGUUUGUCGCGUCUGCUGUGAAAAUCCGGGGCUCAACCCCGGACUUGCAGUGGGUACGGGCAGACUAGAGUGUGGUAGGGGAGACUGGAAUUCCUGGUGUAGCGGUGAAAUGCGCAGAUAUCAGGAGGAACACCGAUGGCGAAGGCAGGUCUCUGGGCCACUACUGACGCUGAGAAGCGAAAGCAUGGGGAGCGAACAGG
RNAcentral lists this ribosomal RNA (253 nucleotides) under uncultured bacterium. RNAcentral's name for it is "partial 16S ribosomal RNA". It matches the Rfam family "Bacterial small subunit ribosomal RNA", at positions 524 to 776 of the family's 1533-position model. The record is from RNAcentral.